UAAGUGCAAAUUUCACACAGCGUCGACCUCUUAUGGUUAUCAUCGAUUCUCAAAUCUCAUUCUACGUUCCCACAGAAAAUACAGACCAUUGGAAUUGCUAUAGGCUUUACUGCCGAUGGAAAUCGUCAAUCCAUUUGCAUUUUCAAGUCAAAGUCUGAUGGAGCAAGUGCGUAUAUAGUUGGGUGCCCCUCUUGUUUUGAUUCAUUCAGGUAAAACUCGAUUAUCUCUCAGAUUCCUUGUAACAAUUUAGACACAGAUGAGUUGAUCUUUGAUGAAUUUCUUCAAUUCAUUGCACUUUUAGAUUUACCGAACAGUCCGAGUCAAGCUACUGGGUUUCGGAUGAACCCAUACAUUGAACUCUACAUCUGCCCUUGGGUGGGAGGCAUGAAGUCAAUAGUAAUUCAAAAUAUAAAGAAGAAAACAUACCAUGAAGUCAAAGACAUUCAACAUCUACAUGUAAUUUUCCGGCGCCCAUGCAUGAAGUAGGAAGAUCUUUUGGUCUGCUGUGGACGUUCAAUGCUGGAAACUGUUAAGUUUUUGUUGCUCAAGCACAAUGCUUUUUUAACUCUAUGGAAAAUCAAAGUUCUGGGGUAAAGUCCAGAGCGGAGCCAGAAUUUCAAGCUUAUGGGUUCGAGAUUCUAAUCAUUUUAAGUUACUGGGUUCAAAUUAAUUAGUUGUACAUAAUUAGUGAAAUUUUAAGACAAAUACAUGAUUUGAAUAGCUAAUGGUUUCGGCCGAACUCGUAACCCACACUGUGGCUCCGCCUCUAGGGUAAACCUCUCAAGGCUAGAGUAGAUGGACUCACACUGAGUGUUUUAAUUGGGAUUUGAGUAUCGAAUCUCCAUGUUGUUACUUCUAUGCCUCUAUCACUCACCUAUCCUCUCCUGAUAAUUGGCUCGAUAAUUUGUUAACUGUUUAUUCGGAGUUGAGUAGUACAUAUAUAUCAAAAAUUGCCUGCUUAUUGAACUUAUACUUUUUGUUUGUUACUACCCUCUGAUAGUAACACGUGAGAAUUUUGGAAGUUUCUUUAUUUGCGACAUCAACUUAACCUCUCUCAAAGUGAAACUUAGAUUACACAGAUUUUUUUGGUAACUUCAAGAACAAAAGUAAUUCAUGGUUUACAAAUGUUACAGAAUUUUAAUGCUAGGGGUGUGUAUCCUUCUUCAUAUUGCGUGCAAUGUUCUUUCAAAUAGAGAAGCUUCUUUACUAUACUGAAAGCUUACAAAAUUUCAACUCCCUAUGAAUGGUGAUUGGUGAACUAAGCUUACAAAAGCACUGUCAGGGUGCUUAGUUGACCUCUACAGUAGGCUAGUAGCUGAGGCUGAUAUAGACCUUUUUGAGAAGCAAGGUCAAGUCUGUAAUUUAGCUAAGCUGUUAAAACUUUUGGAUCUCAUUGAAUACUCCUUUAUCAAUUUUGAGAAGAAAGAAUCCUCUUUUUCCAAUAGCUUUGCUGGUGUGUCAUAUUCGGCUAUUCUUCCUGUUAACAAGUGAAGGAAUUCAUAUAGUUAGAAUCAAGAAGUUAGCAGCUUAUUCAAAUCAAGAGGAUGGAGAGAUAUUAGAUGUAUUCAAAUAUUUACCUUCAUUCAAGACUAAGACAAGAUCGCUAUCGAUGACUGUAUGGAUUCUGUGAGCUAUUGUGACAACUGUUCGAUUUCUGAAUUCUUGACUGAUAAUCUUUUGUAACACUGCAUCAGUUGCAGCAUCAACUGAUGCUGUUGCUUCGUCCAGAACGAGAAUGCUGCUUUUCUUUAGCAAGGCUCUUCCAAGACAGAAAAGCUGCCUUUGACCGACACUCCAGUUCUCUCCAUUUUCAACCACUGUUAAACUGACCGCAUUAGUAGCUUUCAAGAAGUAAUACGCGAUUGCUUUCAUAAAAAAAAGCCGAGUCUUAAAUUACUAUAUUUAAUCAAGAAAUUUCUAGUCUCACCUGUAGUUUCCAGCUUUUCUGGCUUUGCACGUAUUAUAUCACCAAGUUGGCAUUUGUCCAGAGCCUGACAAAAGAAGAUUACUGCACAUUAUUCACAAUCGAAUCACCAAUAUUUAAGUUAAUUUCAACUUUUUUCUUGACUACAUAUAGAAGUUGGUUAAAGUUUAUACCCAGUCAUUUAAACUUUGCAAAACAAGUACAAGACCUACCAGAGGGUUAACAAGUUUUUUGUGCUUUUAGCUUGUUACCAUGCAAAGAUGACUUAUAAGACAAUCUGUCAAUUUAAGUGGUCAUUUUUGCAUAAUUAUUUGUGCAAUACUCGGUACAAUAAGUACCUCCCAGAUUUCAGUAUCAGAGUGCUCUGCUAGUGGAUCUAAGUUUCCUCUAACUGUUCCCUCGAACAUUGUUGGGUCCUGAGGAAUAAUACUUAGCCUUGACCUCAAAUCAUAAAGACCUAUCUUGCAAAUAUCUAUAUCAUCGAUGAUGAUGCUUCCUUCUCUUGGUUCUACGAUCCGGAAAAGGGCCUGAAUGAGGGUUGAUUUACCACUUCCUGUUCUGCCCACAACACCGACUUUCUUACUUCCUGGAAAUGUGCAUGUAGUGUUUUUCAGAACAGAAGGGAGGUGUUCAGCAUAACGUAUCUGCAGAGAGAGAUAUGGUGAUGAUAUCAGAGGGUUGAAACUUUCAGCCACGCAAGCUAAAACUUUUUUUUUAAAACAUGUAUAUAAUAUUGCUGCCAGUUUUCGGUAAAUAGAGCUUCAUUCCCUUCAUGUCAGGUGUUCAAACCUCAGAACUGAGUCUAGUUUGAUCUAAGCUAUGUGACACUAUCAUUACCUGCAAAUUUUUGAAGGAAAUUGUUCCAGUUUCUGGCCAAGUGCUUGAUGGUCUGCUAUUUUCAAUCACAAGAGGUGCUUCACUCGCAAGGUUUGAAUACUGGAGAAUCCUUUCAACUGAUAUCAUUUUGUUUUCAGCAUUGCAAAUAUUCCAUAUUACUGAAGCUUGUAAAACAUUCAGAUUGAUUCCAUACGUUACUGCCAAUCCUGCAAUGCCUGUAGAAUAUAAAGCGACAUCAGUUUUGUGCUUUUAACGUCUUGGUUUUCCUACUUGUGCUCUACAUAAUAACAUGAAGGAAAAGCAAUUUCUGAUACUUACUUGGAUUUAUAAUUCCUUCAGGGAGUGUGACUAGCAGAACAAGGGAGAAGGCAAAAACAAAAUUAGAUAGCUGGUUCAGUCUAAAAGAAAGCCAUUCCAUUGCUGAUACAUUGUGGAACCAUGGCCUUGAAUGACCAUCUAUGAGACAAAGGUUUGCAAGAGCAAAUCGAUCUUUUUGGUUGAAAGCACGAAUGGUUGCUGCUCCUGCGAGUGAUUCUGCAAAGUGAUGGAGGAUUGGAGCUCUUUGAACUCCAGAUAAACGAGCAAGCUCUCUUGCAGUUGGUAUGUAGUAUUGCUGGCAUUUUUAACAAUAAUAUCUUAAAAUAACAUUCUACAAAAAUUAGAAAGAAUCUUUGUAAUCUUCAACAAACAUAAAGUUUGUUCAUCCUUUGAUCUUUAAAUAUAAUUUUACUAAUAUUUUCCCAAACUUCACUUGAUCAUGUAUACAAAAACUCUUCUAUAAGGUGGAGAUGAGAACUUAUUUUAGCAGCAAACUUGGUUUUAUCGCCGUGUCAGCCUCCCCUAACUUGACCACUAGAAUUCUUUGCCCAAAACAAACCAGCAUCUUCUUGUUUUAAUAUAAUUAGCAUUUAGAAAUCUAAAACUUGUACAUCUUACUCACCUGGUACCAAAUGCAGACUGCUGUUACUGGAAUAAAGAUGACGAAUACUUCCCAUGCGACCUGUGACAUGACUGCAAUUGUCCCAAGAAGCUGAAUAAUGGAGAAGGCGCACCAACCCAACUUGGUUGCCAUUUCCAAGUCUAAAACACUUUGGUCUGUGGAUACCUGUUCAUGUAAUAAUAUGUUCUUGAGUGAUUGAUCCAAUGGAAUUGCAUCAAUGAAUAAACUGAAUUUCAGCCUUAAGUUCUUUAGGUUAUGGCUAGAAUUAGCUCACUGUGUUUUUUCAUGGUAUUAUCUUGAUUUUCUUAUUCUGAUACUUUUCUGUGGAUUAACUUAUGAGUUACACAUUCAGAUACCGCAUGACUGUACAGUGAAAGAUCCUACUUGCUUUAUGCGGUAAUGAGAUAUAACUGAUAUGUAUCCUCUGACUUAUCAUUUUAGUAUCUGUCUUUGAUCAGUUUUCCUUCUCAGAGGCAAAUUGCAGUAGUGGAAAAACAAAAGAAGAGUUGUUAUCAUGUCUGGUUUCUUACUAGUUAAUUCUUUUUGACAUUUAUCAGCGAUCUAAUGGUGAAGUACGUAGCUGAAUCCACACUUCUUCAGAUCAAGGGAAGUAUACUACAGCUGAUCUGCUGUCCCCAUGUCCAAUCCCAAUCAGCUAAAUUUGAGUUACUUACGCGG
Molecule: long non-coding RNA, 4379 nt
Filed under: Nicotiana tabacum (common tobacco)
Lineage: Eukaryota; Viridiplantae; Streptophyta; Magnoliopsida; Solanales; Solanaceae
Description: long non-coding RNA (NTAB_LNC001728)
Source: RNAcentral